RNAcentral lists this ribosomal RNA (450 nucleotides) under uncultured bacterium. Its description in RNAcentral is "partial 16S ribosomal RNA". It matches the Rfam family "Bacterial small subunit ribosomal RNA", at positions 354 to 796 of the family's 1533-position model. The record is from RNAcentral.
GUGGGGAAUAUUGGACAAUGGGCGAAAGCCUGAUCCAGCCAUGCCGCGUGUGUGAAGAAGGUCUUCGGAUUGUAAAGCACUUUAAGUUGGGAGGAAGGGCAGUAAGUUAAUACCUUGCUGUUUUGACGUUACCGACAGAAUAAGCACCGGCUAACUUCGUGCCAGCAGCCGCGGUAAUACGAAGUGUGCAAGCGUUAAUCGGCAUUACUGGGCGUACAGCGCGCGUAGGUGGUUCAGCAAGUUGGAGGUGAAAUCCCCGGGCUCAACCUGGGAACUGCCUCCAAAACUACUGAGCUAGAGUACGGUAGAGGGUAGUGGAAUUUCCUGUGUAGCGGUGAAAUGCGUAGAUAUAGGAAGGAACACCAGUGGCGAAGGCGACUACCUGGACUGAUACUGACACUGAGGUGCGAAAGCGUGGGGAGCAAACAGGAUUAGAAACCCGAGUAGUCC